GCCUGGAUAGUGCAGUUGGUUAGAGCGUGUUGCUGAUCAUCCCAAGGUUGCAGGUUUGAUCCCUAUUUGGGGCA
Non-coding RNA from Podarcis lilfordi (Lilford's wall lizard), 74 nucleotides. The record is from the annotation of a GenBank genome assembly. NCBI's taxonomy places the organism in Eukaryota, Metazoa, Chordata, Lepidosauria, Squamata, Lacertidae.